RNAcentral lists this ribosomal RNA (309 nucleotides) under uncultured fungus. RNAcentral's name for it is "SSU rRNA". It matches the Rfam family "Eukaryotic small subunit ribosomal RNA", at positions 39 to 352 of the family's 1831-position model. The record is from RNAcentral. Lineage: Eukaryota; Fungi.
AAAGAUUAAGCCAUGCAUGUCUAAGUAUAAGCAAUUAUACCGUGAAACUGCGAAUGGCUCAUUAAAUCAGUUAUCGUUUAUUUGAUAGUACCUUACUACUUGGAUAACCGUGGUAAUUCUAGAGCUAAUACAUGCUAAAAACCCCAACUUCGGGAGGGGUGUAUUUAUUAGAUAAAAAACCAAUGCCCUUCGGGGCUCCUUGGUGAUUCAUGAUAACUUCUCAGAUCGCAUGGCUUUACGCCGGCGACGGUUCAUUCAAAUUUCUGCCCUAUCAACUUUCGAUGGUAAGGUAUUGGCUUACCAUGGUUU